Oncorhynchus kisutch (coho salmon) is the source of this 3981-nucleotide long non-coding RNA. The record is from Ensembl. NCBI's taxonomy places the organism in Eukaryota, Metazoa, Chordata, Actinopteri, Salmoniformes, Salmonidae.
UUAGACACUCCAAGCAAAAUUCUUGUUUGAGAAAAAGCUAUUUCUGUAUUAUCUGCUAUAUUUUUGGACAAUUUUAAUGGAAAACUAUUAUAAUAACGUACUAAAUGGUUAUCCAUAAAAUAUAUGAUAUUGAGAUAAAAAUGGCUGCAUUGGGCCUUUAAGUCAUUCUAGGGGUCUAAUACAUUGAGUUUAGAUGCUAUGUUUUGUACGUACAGUAAGCUUUCUCAAACAGUGAAUAUUGCCCUUGACUCUCAGGGUGCCUAACAAAACAGAGUUUCAACACCCAGGUCCUAUAUAGCGAAAAGACCUGGGUGGUGAUCAGUGUAUGCGACAACUGGAGUAAAAAAAAAAAUCCUGUGAUAAUCCAACAAUGGUUUAUAAUAUAUAUAAUAUAUACCUCUUGUCUGUGUUUUGUUUUAGCCAUGGAUGGUGUGUUGGAGGGAGCGGCUGUGGUGUGUGUGUGUAAACUGGCCUGCAGUCUUCUCUUCCUGCCCAUGGUCACUGCUUCUCUCAGUGCAGUCAGCUUCUGCUGCAACUGCCUGCUGCUCUUCACAGACCUCGUAGUCACAACUAUCCUGGUUGUCCUCUGGUUUGCAGACCCCUGGCUACCUCAGUUUUCCACGUCCUCUGAUGUCAUUGCCCUGCGCUUCCUGCUCUUCCUCAGCCAUACCUACUGGGCGGUGCUGCUGAUGACUACUCCUCUUGUUGCCGUGGAGACUGCCAUGAAGUUGCAGUGGCCCCAGGUCCAUGGUGGCAGAGGUAGAGCAGUGGACGGGGACACAGGCGGACGUAGUGAAACACCGGGCUCUAAAGCUCCUGCACAUCACCAUGGGGUGACCGUGGAGGUAGAGGACGGGCAGAGCAGGGACACAGACAGCCAGAGAGAAGGGAGAGAGGACCAGGAAAAGUGCCUGCCCCACAUCAUUUACUUCCUCUGCUGUCUGCUGGUGUGGGUUCUCUGUGGUGUCUGUGGGGGUCAGAGCUGGAGACUUUGGGUGAAGGUCUGCAUGGAGAGAACCAGCUCUCUCACUAUGUGCCUUCCCAGCCUCCCCAACAAUGUCCUGUCUGCUCUGGGUGAGCCCUGCUGGGCCCUGGCCACCGUGACCUUGGCCCUCCUGCUGGUGCUGACGGUGGGCUGGGGCCUGCUCAGACGACACCUGGCCCACACAGAGACGGACACGCACUCAACGACACACAAGGGGGAACAUGGCACUGACAUUGAACUGCCCGCACAAACAUUCGCUGCACCAUGCAUGGCUGUAAACCCUGCCACGUCAGCGGUGCCAGACACACAGUCUGUUGACCCAGAGACAACACGGUCCAGAUGCUCCCUUCACAGCCCAUGUUCCGGGAACAACAUACAGCUAUCACUGGCUCACCAUGGAUACUCUGGCCUCUUAUCUUUGGAGUGUUUGUCAGCAGACAUACUAGAGGAACACAGAGAGACAAAAGGACUAGGAGACAUGCCUCUCAGCACUACCGUGGAGGAACACACAGGCUCUACCUACAGGAGCCAGUGUGGGAUGGGGCAGUGGGGCUUUCCCUGCCUGGGGGUAAACGUAAUGACAGGGUUUGUGUGUUUGCUCAUUGUCUGUGUGUUACCUCUAAAUCUCAGUGUGAACAUCCUACUGAUCAGGCACAUAGAGACAAUGCUGGAGUGGAGUUUGAAGCUCUUAUUGUUUGUACCCAAAGAAGCCACAGACAACACAGGGCUCUCCCAGUCAAUGUAACACAGGCAUAAAGUCAGUGUACUGGACAAUAAACCCGGAUGGGGGUAGUGUUAGAUAUUAAAGUGUGUCUUGGGAAUGGGAUUGUGUUGAGAGGGACUUAUUAGGUAUUGUCCGGGGGUAGGAUCAGAUGAAUAUUACAUGUACUGUAGACAGCUGGUCUACCUGUCAAUGAUAAAAAGUAAACAGUUCCCUCUUUGACUGUGACUGUCUAUUCAUGCGUGCCGAGUGAUCUCUGGGAAGCUGCAGAGGAGUGCUGAAAAAGUCAGGUUGAGGCUUGCUUUCCAGAUCUAUAGACAUGCAACCCAAUAAUUAGUUUGCUGAAACAGUAGAUGGGGGGGGGGGGGGGGGGUGUUUAGUUAUCUGAAAUGUGGACAAAAAUGUGGGAGAUUUUUUGGGGGAAUUUUAAUUUGACCUUUAUUUUACUAGACAAGUCAGUUAAGAACAAAUUCUUAUUUUCAAUGACGGCCUAGGAACAGUGGGUUAACUGCCUGGCAGAUUUGUACCUUGUCAGCUCGGGGAUUCGAACUUGCAACCUUCCGGUUACUAGUCCAACGCUCUAACCACUAGGCUACCCUGCCGCCCCAGAUGAUAUGACUUCACCUUACCUCAGCAAAAGGCAAGUGAUUAUAAUGCAUGCUUAACAAGAAGUGGCUCUAAACACUACUACUGCCAUUGGGCUGUAGCUAGGUAUGAAACGACAACAAAGCUUUCUCUUCACUCAGGGGUUUUCUGAGUCGAGGAAUAAGAUUCCGCUUGAUCACAGGCGCAGCAGGGGGCUGAAUAACAUUGAGAAAUUCAAGCUAUUAACACACACACACACACACACACACACACACACACACAAACAGCCGUGUUCAUACAGGUACCACGUUGCAGACACAUGCUGCAUACCUCCUAACAUCAGGUUCAAAUGUCUUCGGAGUUCAGAGGAAACGCUGAUAUUACCCAGGCCAACACCAGAGGGCAGCCUGCAGCCAGCAACAACACCAGGUAGCUCACAAAGGAGACAUCUGAAGCUCCCAGGCUAGAAUGUCUAUUACAUACAGUACAUUGAAACAAGAGAUGGAGAGGGGAUUUCUCUAAACAAAGGAGUAACGUUUAGGUUGUGCUGCCCUUGAGAGAGCCAGAGGGCAAACACUGAGUCAACAGCAGGUAGGGCUAGUUAGCUACAUCUUUCUGGCUGCCAAAGUGUUCAGACCUGUACAGACAGAUACACAGCAAAAUAGUGAUUCAACCCGGAGCCCAGAACAGAUCAAAAUGAGGCUGAGCUCAUUCUCUAAAGUCUCUGACACUGGAUAUAGAUUGAAAUAUAUAUAUUAUUAAAGGUGUAGUUGCAGCCAAAUUUAUUGGCACCUUUGCACUUUUCAUAAAUAAUUCCCUAUUUCUUCCAAAAGAAGUGAAAAAAAAACAAAUUUAAAGGCGUUAUUUGAUUUUCAACAUUGCAGAACUUAUGUCUACAAUUUUAAUUGAUAAAUUAAAUAAAAAUGGCAUUGACAAAAUGAAUAGCACCCCAGAGCUAGUACUUGGUUGCACAGCUUUUGGCCAUGAUAGCUGCCACAAAUACUUAUUGUAGUCAUUGUUGGACAUGAUCUGACUUGAACUUUUUUAAAUGCAUAAUCCACUUAAUAGUAGUAAUACCUUGUUAUUGGUUAGCAUGUUGGAGCUGGAGACUGUUAUUACAGUGGCAAAGGGAAGUACAGAAAGUCUCUAUGUCCAGAUAUGUUAAUAAUAUUUCUAAGGAAGUAGGUCGAGCCACAGUCGAGUCUCAGCUCCUGGUAAGGUCAGGCUAGUUUCUGUGGAACCAGGACAGUGAGAGAUGUAGUGUUCAACAUCGAGGUGAGCACAACAGUUGAAGAGAGAAGAAACCUCUAGGAGGGGGGCUAGAGGGGCCCAUCCUAACAAUAGUCCAACAGUCGUCUUAUCUCACCUCCCUGCCCAGGAAAAUUCUGGACUCGGAGGACGAACAUCAAGAGGAGGAACGGACUCAGUUCUUGCCCAGCGACAGAGACUGAUUGUUUAUACUAGACAUACCUUUGGUCAUGUAGUGUAUGUGGACACCUGCUCGUUGAACAUCUCAUUCCAAAAUCAUGGCCAUUAAAAUGGAGUUGGCCAUCUAGAAUGUUAUUGUAUGUAGCGUUAAGAUUUCCCUACACUGGAACUAAGGGGCCUAGCCCGAACCAUGAAAAACAUCCCCAGACCAUUAUUCCUCCUCCAACAAACUUUACAGUUGGCACUAUGCAUUCGGGCAGGU